RNAcentral lists this small RNA (127 nucleotides) under Marmota monax (woodchuck). Lineage: Eukaryota; Metazoa; Chordata; Mammalia; Rodentia; Sciuridae. The record is from RNAcentral.
ACUGGGCAUGGUGGCAUAUGCCUGUAAUCUCAGCAGCUCAGGAGGUUGAGGUGGGAGGAUCGCAAGUUCAAGGCCAGCCUCAGCAACUUAGCAAGGUCUUAAGCAACUCAUUGAGACCCUAUCUCUA